RNAcentral lists this ribosomal RNA (232 nucleotides) under uncultured bacterium. RNAcentral describes it as "partial 16S ribosomal RNA". It matches the Rfam family "Bacterial small subunit ribosomal RNA", at positions 118 to 347 of the family's 1533-position model. The record is from RNAcentral.
UGAGUAACCUGCCCUUAACUCUGGGAUAAGCCUGGGAAACUGGGUCUAAUACCGGAUAUGACUCCUCAUCGCAUGGUGGGGGGUGGAAAGCUUUUUGUGGUUUUGGAUGGACUCGCGGCCUAUCAGCUAGUUGGUGAGGUAAUGGCUCACCAAGGCGAUGAUGGGUAGCCGGCCUGAGAGGGUGACCGGCCACACUGGGACUGAGACACGGCCCAGACUCCUACGGGAGCAG